Molecule: ribosomal RNA, 423 nt
Filed under: uncultured bacterium
Lineage: Bacteria
Description: bacterial SSU rRNA
Rfam family: Bacterial small subunit ribosomal RNA
Source: RNAcentral
GGAAUCUUCCACAAUGGACGAAAGUCUGAUGGAGCAACGCCGCGUGAGUGAAGAAGGUUUUCGGAUCGUAAAACUCUGUUGUAAGGGAAGAACACGUACGAGAGUAACUGCUCGUACCUUGACGGUACCUUAUUAGAAAGCCACGGCUAACUACGUGCCAGCAGCCGCGGUAAUACGUAGGUGGCAAGCGUUGUCCGGAUUUACUGGGCGUAAAGAGCGCGCAGGCGGUCGAUUAAGUCGAGUGUGAAAGCCCCCGGCUCAACUGGGGAGGGUCACUCGAUACUGGUCGACUCGAAGGCAGGAGAGGGAAGUGGAAUUCCCGGUGUAGUGGUGAAAUGCGUAGAUAUCGGGAGGAACACCAGUGGCGAAGGCGACUUCCUGGCCUGUUCUUGACGCUGAGGCGCGAAAGCUAGGGGAGCAAAC